Molecule: ribosomal RNA, 392 nt
Filed under: uncultured bacterium
Lineage: Bacteria
Description: partial 16S ribosomal RNA
Rfam family: Bacterial small subunit ribosomal RNA
Source: RNAcentral
AUACGGAGGAUCCGAGCGUUAUCCGGAUUUAUUGGGUUUAAAGGGUGCGCAGGCGGCCAUUUAAGUCAGCGGUUAAAUCGUGGGGCUCAACCCCAUUCUGCCGUUGAUACUGGGUGGCUUGAUUGCGGUCGAGGUUGGCGGAAUUCGUUGUGUAGCGGUGAAAUGCAUAGAUAUGACGAAGAACACCGAUUGCGUAGGCAGCUGACCAGAUCGCAAAUGACGCUCAUGCACGAAAGUGCGGGGAUCGAACAGGAUUAGAUACCCUGGUAGUCCGCACAGUAAACGAUGAAUACUUGUUUUCGGCGAUAUAAUGUCGGAGGCAAAGCGAAAGCGAUAAGUAUUCCACCUGGGGAGUACGUUCGCAAGAAUGAAACUCAAAUGAAUUGACGGGG